GAUGAAGAACGCAGCGAAAUGCGAUAAGUAAUGUGAAUUGCAGAAUUCAGUGAAUCAUCGAAUCUUUGAACGCACAUUGCGCCCUCUGGUAUUCCGGGGGGCAUGCCUGUUCGAGCGUCAUUACAACCCUCAGGCCCCCGGGCCUGGCGUUGGGGAUCGGCGGAAGCCCCCUGCGGGCACAACGCCGUCCCCCAAAUACAGUGGCGGUCCCGCCGCAGCUUCCAUUGCGUAGUAGCUAACACCUCGCAACUGGAGAGCGGCGCGGCCACGCCGUAAAACACCCAACUUCUGAAUGUUGACCUCGAAUCAGGUAGGAAUACCCGCUGAACUUAAGCAUAUCAAUAAGCGGAGGA
Molecule: unclassified non-coding RNA, 353 nt
Filed under: soil metagenome
Description: partial contains 5.8S ribosomal RNA, internal transcribed spacer 2, and large subunit ribosomal RNA
Rfam family: 5.8S ribosomal RNA (bases 1-120)
Source: RNAcentral